AUUGAACGCUGGCGGCAUGCCUUACACAUGCAAGUCGAACGGUAACGGGCCUUCGGGUGCCGACGAGUGGCGAACGGGUGAGUAAUACAUCGGAACGUGCCCGAUCGUGGGGGAUAACGAGGCGAAAGCUUUGCUAAUACCGCAUACGAUCUACGGAUGAAAGCAGGGGACCGCAAGGCCUUGCGCGGACGGAGCGGCCGAUGGCAGAUUAGGUAGUUGGUGGGAUAAAAGCUUACCAAGCCGACGAUCUGUAGCUGGUCUGAGAGGAUGAUCAGCCACACUGGGACUGAGACACGGCCCAGACUCCUACGGGAGGCAGCAGUGGGGAAUUUUGGACAAUGGGCGCAAGCCUGAUCCAGCCAUGCCGCGUGCAGGAUGAAGGCCUUCGGGUUGUAAACUGCUUUUGUACGGAACGAAAAGCCUUCUUUUAAUACAGGAGGGUCAUGACGGGACCGUAAGAAUAAGCACCGGCUAACUACGU
RNAcentral lists this ribosomal RNA (481 nucleotides) under uncultured bacterium. Its description in RNAcentral is "partial 16S ribosomal RNA". It matches the Rfam family "Bacterial small subunit ribosomal RNA", at positions 30 to 506 of the family's 1533-position model. The record is from RNAcentral.